Molecule: ribosomal RNA, 403 nt
Filed under: uncultured bacterium
Lineage: Bacteria
Description: bacterial SSU rRNA
Rfam family: Bacterial small subunit ribosomal RNA
Source: RNAcentral
UGGGGAAUCUUGGACAAUGGGCGAAAGCCUGAUCCAGCCAUGCCGCGUGAGUGAAGAAGGCCUUAGGGUUGUAAAGCUCUUUUACCCGGGAAGAUAAUGACGGUACCGGGAGAAUAAGCCCCGGCAAACUUCGUGCCAGCAGCCGCGGUAAUACGAAGGGGGCUAGCGUUGUUCGGAUUUACUGGGCGUAAAGCGCACGUAGGCGGAUUGUUAAGUCGGGGGUGAAAUCCUGGAGCUCAACUCCAGAAUUGCCUUCGAUACUGGCUUUCUAGAGGCUGGAAGAGGUUAGUGGAAUUCCCAGUGUAGAGGUGAAAUUCGUAGAUAUUGGGAAGAACACCAGUGGCGAAGGCGGCUAACUGGUCCAGAUCUGACGCUGAGGUGCGAAAGCGUGGGGAGCAAACAG